GCCAGCGUGGUGAAAUUGGUAGACACGACGGAUUCAAAAUCCGUUGGGGUAAAACCCGUGGCGGUUCAAGUCCGCCCGCUGGUACCA
Molecule: transfer RNA, 87 nt
Filed under: Pseudohongiellaceae bacterium
Lineage: Bacteria; Pseudomonadati; Pseudomonadota; Gammaproteobacteria; Pseudomonadales; Pseudohongiellaceae
Also listed under: 1 other name
Description: tRNA-Leu
Rfam family: tRNA
About the family: Transfer RNA (tRNA) molecules are approximately 80 nucleotides in length. Their secondary structure includes four short double-helical elements and three loops (D, anti-codon, and T loops).
Source: RNAcentral